UUGUAUUUAUCAUCUUUUGUGUAGCAGGUUUGAAGAAUACUUUAUUUCCCAGAAUGCAUUGUGGGUAGAAUAUGGGUGUGUCCCGUUCCAUUCAAUUUAGUUGAAUUAAAACUCAUGCUCAUGAACUGAAAGGAGGUUCUGGAUGAUGCAUGUUAUAUUGCACAGCUUUUGUCCUACAGGUGACAGGGAUGUCAUACACAGGACAAAAGUUUUGUUUCCCAAGCUUUUCAACACUUUAAUGACACGUAGAACAGCCAGGUUUCCUGUGCUGAUUUACUGUGUGUGUGUGUGUGUGUGUGUGUGUGUGUGUGUGUGUGUGUGUGUGUGUGUGUGUGUGUGUUUGAAGUGGAGGCUGUAAUCACCCGUGGGCUUCUCUCUGUGAUCAGAGCCAACUCAAGAGAUGAUAAACACACGCCUGGAGGAAUCACACAUCAAAUAUUGACACAACUCCUCACACACACACACACACACACACACACACUUCAGAUCAAAACACCAGUCAUUCACAGGAAACUUCAGUCUCCUGCUUCUCAGAUGUUUCUCCUAAAAACACCCCACUAGUCUCACAUAUGACUUUCACUCAUCUCAGCAAUGUCUCAAACUGAGCUCAGUCUGCUUAUUUUUACUCGCCCACUUUUUAGUUAUCAUACCAAUAAUAAAAGUAUUUUUGUGCAAAUAACAAGAUGAAUGUAUUUUCUGUCAGUGUAUUGAAUAGGAUUUUAUUUUGUCUUACUGAAAUCACAACAUUUUCUCUUGUUUUAGGUAUAAAAAUAAGUUGCACACAAGUCUUAAUAACUUAUGCAGUGAUGUCAUUAGUAAAUUGAUCUUGAUUUAAAUGUUAAGAAUUUUUUUAUUGGAAAAAGUCAUAAAACUAGCUAAUCUUAAAAGUUAACAGAAAUACGCUUUAAUAACAAUUUGCCAACUUUCCCGUUGAGUUAUAAACAAUGUUAUUUUUUAAUGUUCUCUAGAUGUAAAAAGUCCAGUAAACUAAAAAGUAAACAUAAACUUUUAUUUUGGAUGCGAUUAAUCACGAUUCAUCUUUUGACAGCACUUAUUUAGAGCAGCUUCACAGUAAUAAACAAGAACACAACAUUGUUAAACGUUUGAAGUGUGUUAUGUGCGAGAGAUGAAACGUGUCCAGCAGGGUUUAGUGCCUGUGGCCGCUGCGCUGCUCACACACACACACACUCACACACACACAUACACUCGUUUGUUUUUGUGAAAAGUGUGUUUUUUGUGAAAUAUUAUUGCAUUUUAAAAUAAGAGUUUUCUAUUUUAAUAUACUUUAAAAUAUAAUUUUUUCCUGUUAAACAAAGCUGUAUUUCCUGCAUCAUUACUCCAGUCUACAGUCACAUGAUAAUUAAAAAACAUAACUUUAUAGUGACACAAAAGUUUCUUCUGCUCAUCAAGGCUGCAUUUAUUUGAUCAAAAAUACAGAAAUAAAAAUGUAAUUUUCUGAAAUAUUAAUACAAUUUAAAAAAAAGCAUAACUUUAUAGCGAAACCAACUCUAUAGUGGUUUGCCCGAGCAUUGCAAUUAUUUUCCAUUUACAAGAAUUCAUUUUAAUGUUGAUGCUUCCCAUGUUGAAGCAUGGGCACUUUUCAUCUUUUCAUAUGUGGUGUAAAGGGAUUUUACAUGUGCCAAAAAUAUAAGUUUCGGGGUCUUACUAUUAAAAAUAAAUAAGCAAGUCCAGCUCAGUUGACAAGUAGUAAAAUAAUGCAUUACUUCACACAACUACAGUUAGUUUUAAUGGCAUAAUGCAAUAUUACAAUGCAUUACUUUUAAAGUAUAACUUUACUCAACACUGUAUUUAGAAAGCCUAAAGCAUGUGUUUCUUUUAGCAAGUGCAAAUGUGAUGGAGAUGCUGUUCUCACAGUGUGCUAGUUGACUUCCACCUGCUCUCACUCAGGUCCUCCUGCUGAGGUCACAGGGCGUCGGGAGCAGUUCAGGUGCACUUCGUUCCCAGAGCAAUUGACCAAUCAUGUCUUCACCUGGGGCUAAGAGGGGUCCCGGGGUUAAGGCGAUCUAAUGGAUCGGCCUGGCGGGAGAAAUGGAUGAAGAUUGAGGAGCUCUUCUCCUCUCCAGACGAAUGGGGUCUCAUGUCACUGGUCUGAUUGAAUCCGGCUGGUUCGGUGAAGUUUGCUUCUGUACGAGAAGACACACGCUGAAGUGGAAGAUCUCUGAAAACAACAUUCACACGUCUUCAUUUGUAUGAAAAUAAUUCUUCAUGUCAGAUAUGAGUUUCUGGAGCCCUGCGGGACAUUACAUGCGUCUUACAUCAACAUCAACUGCUCUGCUGUGCUGAAAACAGGAAAAAACCCUCCAGAAAACAAGAAAGACUCCUGCAGGAUCCACUCAUGGAGCUGUUGACGAGAUCAGCUGCUCUCUCCAGCACAUUAAGGGUUAAAGAGACGCUUGUUUGGCCCAUCAACACCUUCCUCGGCGAGUAGACGCUCAC
Long non-coding RNA from Carassius gibelio (silver crucian carp), 2457 nucleotides. RefSeq lists it as uncharacterized. The record is from RefSeq and is a predicted model, not a curated record. The transcript has 3 exons. NCBI's taxonomy places the organism in Eukaryota, Metazoa, Chordata, Actinopteri, Cypriniformes, Cyprinidae.